CUCCGCCACCGACAUUGGAAGAGG
Molecule: microRNA, 24 nt
Filed under: Ananas comosus (pineapple)
Lineage: Eukaryota; Viridiplantae; Streptophyta; Magnoliopsida; Poales; Bromeliaceae
Description: microRNA s1699_c111b
Source: RNAcentral